RNAcentral lists this ribosomal RNA (1085 nucleotides) under Polycephalomyces ramosus. RNAcentral describes it as "SSU rRNA". It matches the Rfam family "Eukaryotic small subunit ribosomal RNA", at positions 79 to 1180 of the family's 1831-position model. Lineage: Eukaryota; Fungi; Ascomycota; Sordariomycetes; Hypocreales; Polycephalomycetaceae. The record is from RNAcentral.
UACGGCGACUGCGAUGGCUCAUUAUAUAAGUUAUCGUUUAUUUGAUAGCACUUUACUACUUGGAUAACCGUGGUAAUUCUAGAGCUAAUACAUGCUAAAAAUCCCGACUUCGGAAGGGAUGUAUUUAUUAGAUUAAAAGCCAAUGCCCUCUGGGCUCUCUGGUGAAUCAUGAUAACUGCUCGAAUCGCAGGGCCUCGUGCCGGCGAUGGUUCAUUCAAAUUUCUUCCCUAUCAACUUUCGAUGUUUGGGUAUUGGCCAAACAUGGUUACAACGGGUAACGGAGGGUUAGGGCUCGACCCCGGAGAAGGAGCCUGAGAAACGGCUACUACAUCCAAGGAAGGCAGCAGGCGCGCAAAUUACCCAAUCCCGACACGGGGAGGUAGUGACAAUAAAUACUGAUACAGGGCUCUUUCGGGUCUUGUAAUUGGAAUGAGUACAAUUUAAAUCCCUUAACAAGGAACAAUUGGAGGGCAAGUCUGGUGCCAGCAGCCGCGGUAAUUCCAGCUCCAAUAGCGUAUAUUAAAGUUGUUGUGGUUAAAAAGCUCGUAGUUGACCCUUGGGCCUGGCUGGCCGGUCCGCCUCACCGCGUGUACUGGUCCGGCCGGGCCUUUCCCUCUGUGGAACCCCAUGCCCUUCACUGGGCGUGGCGGGGAAACAGGACUUUUACUUUGAAAAAAUUAGAGUGCUCCAGGCAGGCCUAUGCUCGAAUACAUUAGCAUGGAAUAAUAGAAUAGGACGUGCGGUUCUAUUUUGUUGGUUUCUAGGACCGCCGUAAUGAUUAAUAGGGACAGUCGGGGGCAUCAGUAUUCAAUUGUCAGAGGUGAAAUUCUUGGAUCUAUUGAAGACUAACUACUGCGAAAGCAUUUGCCAAGGAUGUUUUCAUUAAUCAAGAACGAAAGUUAGGGGAUCGAAGACGAUCAGAUACCGUCGUAGUCCUGACCGUAAACUAUGCCGACUAGGGAUCGGACGAUGUUAUUUUUUGACUCGUUCGGCACCUUACGAGAAAUCAAAGUGCUUGGGCUCCAGGGGAGUAUGGUCGCAAGGCUGAAACUUAAAGAAAUUGACGGAAGGCACCACCAGGUUGA